AGGAUUUAGACACAUCACACCAACUGCUGCUCAGACAGUUAGAAAAGUAAUCAUACAGUAGAUAUUACCAUUAGGAGUCAGUUAGAAAGGUAAUCAUACAGUAGAUAUUACCAUUAGGAGUCAGUUAGAAAGGUAAUCAUACAGUAGAUAUUACCAUUAGGAGUCAGUUAGAAAGGUAAUCAUACAGUAGAUAUUACCAUUAGGAGUCAGUUAGAAAGGUAAUCAUACAGUAGAUAUUACCAUUGGGAGUCAGUUAGAAAGGUAAUCAUACAGUAGAUAUUACCAUUAGGAGACAGUUAGAAAGGUAAUCAUACAGUAAGUCAAUACUGUAAGUAAAACUAAGUUAGAAUCCUAAAUAUUACAAUAAGAGGUCAGACAGACUUAAUUAGUUGAUUUAUUGAAUGAUUGGUGUAAUCAUUGAUAUUCGGUACGGUUAAUUAAGAUGGCCGACUACGUCAACAAACAGGUGAUUGAAUUAAACAAAUUUAUGGAAGAAAACCGGAACAGAGCAACGAGGAGUGUAAAGACUGAAACCCAUCUCUCAGCGAGUGUGUGUUCCUCUACAGAUGGAAGAACAAGACUCUACAGGCUGGCUGCUGUGUGUUUUGGAGUGCUGUGUGUUCUACAAGUCAUUCUCAACAUCUCCCUGAAACUGGCUUUCUCUGGCUCUAACGAAGAGAGAAACCAGUUAGAGGCAUGUUACAACACCACUGGCCUGCCGCAAGACAGAGACCAGUCAGAUACCAGUAGUCGUAUCAUUGGCCUGUGUACAGAAAGAGACCAGCUGCAGAAGGAGAGAGACCAAUGCCGGAGGAACAUGAACCAGCUAGAGAGGAAGAGAGGGCAGUUACUGAGGGACAGAGACCAGUUACUGAGGGAGAGAGACCAGUUACAGAGUGAGAGAGACCAGUUACAGAGUGAGAGAGACCAGUUACAGAGGGAGAGAGACCAGUUACAGAGGGAGAGAGACCAGUUACAGAGGGAGAGAGACCAGUUACAGAGGGAGAGAGACCAGUUACUAAAGGAGAGAGACCAGUUACAGAGUGAGAGAGGCCAGUUACUAAAUGAGAGAGACCAGUUACAGAGUGAGAGAGACCAGUUACAGAGUGAGAGAGACCAGUUACUAAAUGAGAGAGACCAGUUACUAAAGGAGAGAGACCAGUUACAGAGUGAGAGAGACCAGUUACAGAGUGAGAGAGACCAGUUACAGAGUGAGAGAGACCAGUCAGAGAAAACAGAUGACAAAAUACAGUUACAGGAGCGUAAUAAUGCCCUGACUAAAGACAGGGACAUGUUGAGAGACAGGGUCAGUGUUCUGACCAAUGAGAAGGUGGCACUGGAGGAGAGGCUCUCUGAGUGUGAGCUAAACAUUUGUCAGAAAAUCUGGAAAUCUUGUCCAGAGGGUUGGAGGCUCUUGGGAUCCAGCUGUUACUUCCUGUCGACUCAGAUGAAAACCUGGGAGGAGAGCAGACUGGACUGUCUGAACAGAGGAGCAGACCUGAUGAUCAUAAACAACAAGGAGGAACAUGUGAGUGAGAGUAUCUCUGUGGCAUCAACAAGAUUGUCUGGAUUGGUCUAACUAACUCCGUUACUGGGGGGACCUGGAAAUGGGUGGAUGGCACCGCACUGACCACGGCAAGCUAUUGGAGGAGUGGAGGCCCUUAUGGUGGUGGAGUGGAGAACUGUGUGGUGUUACCUUACUGGUCAUCAGGCUACAGAGGAUGGUGGGACUAUCGUUGUUCAUAUCCACAGUACUGGAUGUGUGAAAAAGGCCUCUUGUAGGUACUGCUGUUUAAGGAACAAUGAAGACGGAUUAUAUAUUUUGUUACAAUGGCACUCUGAACUAGACGUUGGAAAGAAAGGCACACACACACACAAAACAAAUCAGGUAUAUAUCACCCAAUAGCUGUUGUCAAUGUUAAGAUGUAUAGUUCAUUAUGUAACAUUGCAUGUAGGCUGUACACAAAUCUCUCUCUCUCUACCUCUACCUUUCUCAUGUUGAUGGUUGUUUACAGUGCUGAAAGGUUACGAGAUGAUUCCACCUAGUGGUUAAAGUGAGAGAUGAACUCACCAUAGAGUUGAAAUAGUGGUAUUACAGACUUGCAUAUGGGCUUUUCCUCAAUUCAUCCUUCCUCGAUUACUCCCAGCAUCCUCUCUCCUCCCUUCCUUCUCAAAACAUAUUGGAGAAUACAAUCCUCGGAGAGGGACCUUCUCUAAUAGGGUUGAGGAGGAGAGGAAUUUUAUGUUACGUAUUGAUGAGUGUGUAGACACUCUGCUCUAAAAUGCUUGUAUUCAUUGUUUUUAUUAGCAACAUGUCAUGUGAUUUGCCAUGCUUCCGCUAAGUUCAUUAAUAAUUUCUCUGUAUUUUUUUCAUGAUCAAUUAUUAUCAUCAAUCCCUUUUAUAAUAAGAAGAACAAAGGCACAGAUUAAUAAAUAAAUGAACAACGUC
This is a non-coding RNA of Salmo salar (Atlantic salmon), 2449 nucleotides long. The record is from RefSeq and is a predicted model, not a curated record. NCBI's taxonomy places the organism in Eukaryota, Metazoa, Chordata, Actinopteri, Salmoniformes, Salmonidae.